UACGGAUGGUGCAAGCGUUGUUCGGAAUCACUGGGCGUAAAGGGCGCGUAGGCGGUAAUGUAAGUCAGAUGUGAAAGUCCUGGGCUCAACCCAGGAAGUGCAUCUGAAACUGCAUAACUAGAGUAUUGGAGAGGAAAGUGGAAUUCCUGGUGUAGAGGUGAAAUUCGUAGAUAUCAGGAGGAAUACCGGAGGCGAAGGCGACUUUCUGGACAAAUACUGACGCUGAGGCGCGAAAGCGUGGGGAGCGAACAGG
Molecule: ribosomal RNA, 253 nt
Filed under: uncultured bacterium
Lineage: Bacteria
Description: partial 16S ribosomal RNA
Rfam family: Bacterial small subunit ribosomal RNA
Source: RNAcentral